AACUCCGUAGGUGAACCUGCGGAAGGAUCAUUACAGUAUUCUUUGCCAGCGCUUAACUGCGCGGCGAAAAGCCUUACACACAGUGUCUUUUUGAUACAGAACUCUUGCUUUGGUUUGGCCUAGAAGAUAGGUUGGGCCAGAGGUUUAACAAAACACAAUUUAAUUAUUUUUACAGUUAGUCAAAUUUUGAAUUAAUCUUCAAAACUUUCAACAACGGAUCUCUUGGUUCUCGCAUCGAUGAAGAACGCAGCGAAAUGCGAUAAGUAAUAUGAAUUGCAGAUUUUCGUGAAUCAUCGAAUCUUUGAACGCACAUUGCGCCCUCUGGUAUUCCAGAGGGCAUGCCUGUUUGAGCGUCAUUUCUCUCUCAAACCCCCGGGUUUGGUAUUGAGUGAUACUCUUAGUCGGACUAGGCGUUUGCUUGAAAAGUAUUGGCAUGGGUAGUACUGGAUAGUGCUGUCGACCUCUCAAUGUAUUAGGUUUAUCAACUCGUUGGAUGGUGGCAGGAUGUUCUGGUAUUGUUGGCCCGGCCUUACAACAACCAAACAAGUUUGACCUCAAAUCAGGUAGGAAUACCCGCUGAACUUAAGCAUAUCAAUAAGCAGGAGGUUGUAUCCCUAGUGCAAGCGGUAGCCUUUGUUCAGUUACGUAUUGCUCCUGGGAGCAUCUAACGAGUUUGAUCCUGGCUCAGAUUGAACGCUGGCGGGAUGCUUUACACAUGCAAGUCGAACGGCAGCACGGACUUCGGUCUGGUGGCGAGUGGCGAACGGGUGAGUAAUGUAUCGGAACGUGCUAGUAGCGGGGGAUAACUACGCGAAAGCGUAGCUAAUACCGCAUACGCCCUUCGGGGGAAAGCGGGGGACCUUCGGGCCUCGCACUAUUGAAACGGCCGAUAUCGGAUUAGCCAGUUGGUGGGGUAACGGCUCGCAAGGCGACGAUCCGUAGCUGGUUUCAGAGGACGACCAGCCACACUGGGACUGAGACACGGCCGACUCCUACGGGAGGCAGCAGUGGGAAUUUUGGACAAUGGGGAAACCCUGAUCCAGCCAUCCCGCGUGUGCGAUGAAGGCCUUCGGGUUGUAAAGCACUUUGGCAGGAAAGAAACGGCACGGGAUAAUACCCCGUGCAACUGACAGUACCUGCAGAAUAAGCACCGGCUAACUACGUGCCAGCAGCCGCGGUAAUACGUAGGGUGCAAGCGUUAAUCAGAUUACUGGGCGUAAAGCGUGCGCAGGCGGUUCGGAAAGAAAGAUGCUUGAAAUCCCAGAGCUUAACUUUGGAACUGCAUUUUAACUACCGAGCUAGAGUGUGUCAGAGGAGGUGGAAUUCCGCGUGUAGCAGUGAAAUGCGUAGAUAUGCGGAGGAACACCGAUGGGCGAAGGCAGCCUCCUGGGAUAACACUGACGCUCAUGCGAAAGCGUGGGGAGCAAACAGGAUUAGAUACCCUGGUAGUCCACGCCCUAAACGAUGUCAACUAGCUGUUGGGGCCUUCGGGCCUUGGUAGCGCAGCUAACGCGUGAAGUUGACCGCCUGGGGAUACGGUCGCAAGAUUAAAACUCAAAGGAAUUGACGGGGACCCGCACAAGCGGUGGAUGAUGUGGAUUAAUUCGAUGCAACGCGAAAAACCUUACCUACCGCUUGACAUGUCUGGAAUCCCGAAGAGAUUUGCAGUGCUCGCAAGAGAACCGGAACACAGGUGCUGCAUAUGGCUGUCGUCAGCUCGUGUCGUGGGGGAUGUUGGGUUAAGUCCCGCAACGAGCGCAACCCUUGUCAUUAGUUGCUACGAAAGGGCACUCUAAUGAGACUGCCGGUGACAAACCGGAGGAAGGUGGGGAUGACGUCAAGUCCUCAUGGCCCUUAUGGGUAGGGCUUCACACGUCAUACAAUGGUCGGGACAGAGGGGUCGCCAACCCGCGAGAGGAGCCAAUCCCAGAAACCCGAUCGUAGUCCGGAUCGCAGUCUGCAACUCGACUGCGUGAAGUCGGAAUCGCUGGUAAUCGCGGAUCAGCAUGUCGCGGUGAAUACGUUCCCGGGUCUUGUACACCGCCCGUCACACCAUGGGAGUGGGUUUUACCAGAAGUAGUUAGCCUAACCGUAAGGAGGGCGAUUACCACGGUAGGAUUCAUGACUGGGGUGAAGUCGUAACAGGUAA
This 2149-nucleotide ribosomal RNA is filed under the name uncultured Bordetella sp. RNAcentral describes it as "partial 16S-23S ribosomal RNA intergenic spacer". The stretch from base 662 to 2149 matches the Rfam family "Bacterial small subunit ribosomal RNA". Lineage: Bacteria; Pseudomonadati; Pseudomonadota; Betaproteobacteria; Burkholderiales; Alcaligenaceae. The record is from RNAcentral.